Molecule: ribosomal RNA, 237 nt
Filed under: uncultured bacterium
Lineage: Bacteria
Description: partial 16S ribosomal RNA
Rfam family: Bacterial small subunit ribosomal RNA
Source: RNAcentral
GAUCCUGGCUCAGGAUGAACGCUGGCGGCGUGCUUAACACAUGCAAGUCGAACGAAGCACUUAAGAUUGAUUCUUCGGAUGAAGUCUUUUGUGACUGAGUGGCGGACGGGUGAGUAACGCGUGGGUAACCUGCCUCAUACAGGGGGAUAACAGUUAGAAAUGACUGCUAAUACCGCAUAAGCGCACAGGGUCGCAUGACCUGGCGUGAAAAACUCCGGUGGUAUGAGAUGGGACCCG